AUGCCUUAAACUUAAGAGUAAGGAAAAGAACAAUCCAGGGUGACGCCCGGGUCCUCUCUACAAAUGUGAGAGGAAUUUUUGCAGGGGUGCAGGUCAUCCCUGGGUGGCCUGCUUACUUUGCAGAAUGCCUGGACAAUUUUUUCU
This 144-nucleotide small nuclear RNA is filed under the name Phoenicopterus ruber ruber. Its description in RNAcentral is "U12 minor spliceosomal RNA". It matches the Rfam family "U12 minor spliceosomal RNA". From Rfam's summary of the family: Although the U12 sequence is very divergent from that of U2, the two are functionally analogous. The record is from Rfam by way of RNAcentral. Lineage: Eukaryota; Metazoa; Chordata; Aves; Phoenicopteriformes; Phoenicopteridae.